This 490-nucleotide ribosomal RNA is filed under the name uncultured bacterium. Its description in RNAcentral is "partial 16S ribosomal RNA". It matches the Rfam family "Bacterial small subunit ribosomal RNA", at positions 30 to 507 of the family's 1533-position model. The record is from RNAcentral.
AUUGAACGCUGGCGGCAGGCCUAACACAUGCAAGUCGAACGGUAACAGGAAGAAGCUUGCUUCUUUGCUGACGAGUGGCGGACGGGUGAGUAAUGUCUGGGAAACUGCCUGAUGGAGGGGGAUAACUACUGGAAACGGUAGCUAAUACCGCAUAACGUCUCAAGACCAAAGAGGGGGACCUUCGGGCCGCUUGCCAUCGGAUGUGCCCAGAUGGGAUUAGCUAGUAGGUAGGGUAACGGCUCACCUAGGCGACGAUCCGUAGCUGGUCUGAGAGGAUGACCAGCCACACUGGAACUGAGACACGGUCCAGACUCCUACGGGAGGCAGCAGUGGGGAAUAUUGCACAAUGGGCGAAAGCCUGAUGCAGCCAUGCCGCGUGUAUGAAGAAGGCCUUCGGGUUGUAAAGUACUUUCAGCGGGGAGGAAGGGAGUAAAGUUAAUAUCCUUGCUCAUUGACGUUACCUGAAGAAGAAGCCACGGCUAACUACGUG